This 39444-nucleotide long non-coding RNA is filed under the name Setaria italica (foxtail millet). RNAcentral's name for it is "long non-coding RNA (SITA_LNC004263)". The record is from RNAcentral. Lineage: Eukaryota; Viridiplantae; Streptophyta; Magnoliopsida; Poales; Poaceae.
CAAGAUAUAGUUUGACUUGCAUUUUGCCAAGUUUACAGCAUGGCUUGGCGCUGCUUCCUUUUAUUUCUUUUAGAAGAACAUGGUCCAUACUUAUGAGAUGAGAAGAUGUGGAAAAUAAACAGAUACAACUAUUAUCAUUAUUCAUUUUCAGAGGUAUCAAACAGAAAAAUGGGCUUACUUGCACAUUAAAUAAGAAAUUGUUUAUAUUUUGGUCUCUAAGAACUACGGGAAAAAAAAGGCUAAACCAAAAUACUUUAAUUGAGCUACUGAACAGCAACUAAUUGAUGCCCACAUGUUUAUAUGUCCAUAUUUAAGAAUACAACUUUAAAUUAAGAUCCCUUGAAUUUCCUUUUCCAUUAAAAUUUUAUGAUAAGAAUGAUUACUGAACUAUUUGGCCCUAAAUAUACAAGUUAGCCAUUGUAGAAAAAGUAUAUGAUAUUACUUUCUUCCCCACUUUGAAGUUCAAUGAGUCCAUGCCACGCCUAGUAUCAGCAUCGUCCAAAACGUCAUCAUGAAUAAGGCUCGAUAUCUAAGAUGCAAGGGAGAAGACAAGUCACUAAAACAAAUAUUUCUGAAUGUUUCGGAAAGUGGAAUGAAACAAGACGCCUAAGAUGCGUACAUGAAUCAUUUCAGUUAUCUCAGCAAGAUGCAUAUGCCUUGCUCGAGGCUUAUUCUCUAAGCCAUCAGCUAUGCCCAUGCUUAUAGCUGAAGCCAUCAACAGUAGAACCUGAAACAUCAAUAGUCAGGAGCUUACAAUGGUGAAACUGAACGAGUAAAUUAUAUAUACUUGUGUCUACUAAAAAAAGUACAUAUCUAUGGUAUGAUGAUAAGAUACAAGAACACACUAUGAAAUCUGGUCUUACAGUAGGACAAGUUCUUUUCCCUUCAGCUCCAGCUCUGAAGAAGUAUCCAGCUGCUGAUGUCAGUUCAGGCACCUGUGGAGAUAACACAUAUAUUGAGUUCCAUACGCCAAAUAGCUCAUCCAAAAGCUUAAGCUAUUGGGAAAAGGUGGGUGAUGUAGUUUAUAGUAUUUCAUGGUACAGAAAAAAAAAGGGUGAAAGUAUCAUUAUAUAGUGUAAUUCAAGCAAAGAUUACAGUUAAAUUAUGCACCUCAGCAACCACCAUUGAGCGCAAUCGAUCUGUCACUUCAGAGACUUCAUCUUUAAUCAGCACAAAGGGGUCUAGCUGCUCCUACUACACAGAAAAAGGAAUGGUUUUGUUAGGAGAACAGAAUUCUGGCACAUGUGAUUGCCUUACAUGGUUGAGACAAGAGUGACAUGACUAUACAGUGACAAUAACAACCCAGUUGUUUGCCUUACUAUGCACUCAAUAGACUCACCACCCUCUGAUUCAUGCUUAAAUAGAAUAAAAUAAUCUUUGUAGCAUCAUGAUAAAGGAGUCUGUAUGACCAUAUCUACCUUAGCUGUUAGCCCUGCUUUUCUGGAAGAAUGAUCACUUGUGCUGUGAAAAUAACAUGAACUCCAAGUAAAUCUGUCCCAAUAGCACAUAUUCUGUGAAGCAAGAAGCCAAGAAGGUGGUGUCAAAGCAUUACAUAGUAUUGUGAAUUUAGGAUACUGGAAACAUUUGACAUGCGUGCAUACAUGUGGAUUAAAUUUGAAUGGGCAGUUGAAAUGCAUUGUAAACACAACCAAACUUAUGUUUGACUGCGGGAUGUUAGAGCAGCAUGUGAGUAUGGAUUCCACUUUUCUGGUAGCUGUGUUCUUGUAGCAAGUGGGCAUGGAUUUCCAGUUUUCCACUUCUCUGAUAACCAAUACAUGUGAAAGCAACGAAUAUGUUUAGAGGCCUAAGUCUGCCAAUAUUCCUUCAAUCCUGAAAGAAAUAAUCUUUCUUGUAAACUGCAUAAUUGUUACAGGGAGGAAGUCAACGCACUGCUUUGGUGUAGUAGCAAAAGGGAUGCAAGCUGCACAAAGGAUAUUAACAAGCUCUAACGUAGAAUGAUAAUCCAACUGCUACGCUGACAAAUCAGUGAAAUCGAAUGAACUAACCAAGAAUUCAUAAUGAAAUACAUUUCCUCCUCAUCAUGCUAAAAUGCUAAUACCAAGAAAAGGGAACCAUAGUUUUUAAGAGUAGAACAUGGUGAAGUAUCAGCGAAUCUGCAAAGGCAGCAUCUGCUACUGGAGCAGAUAAACUAACCAAUUCGCGUCGCGGUUCCAAACUAUUGAACAACAGUUGUCAAGCUCCCAUUUGCCACAAGCACUGCUGCAAUGACCCUACGUGCCGUUGCAUUGUGUACAGUUUUGCUCAAGCCUUAUGGAUGUUGUCACUAUGGCACUAAAGCUGCGGUGUACAUUUCAAUCCACGACAUAAUGCAACUCUGCAAGGUGGAGAUGCAAAAUUCUUACAUUAGCAUUUUAGUAAGUAUCUCCCACGAAACCGCAGAUCCAGAUUUGUUCUCCCUCUCAGUUAUCGGACAGCAACGCAUCGACGUGACAAAAAGAAACCUUUUGCAAAAUUACAGAGGGGCAAAGAAAAAGUAUCCCCAAAUGAAGAACUCAUAGAUGCGGGAUCCGUAAGUCUCACCGUUGGCAUUCGGGGAGCAGAGGAAGCGGUGGAGGCUGAGCGCAGGAGCCCAGCGAGAAGAAGCCGUCCCGGCAGCAUCAUGGCCGGUCCCAAUCGCCGGGGAGGCCGCCUGAGGCCUGGCCACCGCUGCCAGCGAGAUGCGUUGACCAGAGCCAAAUGCCCCGCUCAGCAGCACUGCAGCAGCAGUGGGCUUGCGGAAGGAAUGCCGAAUGCCCCGCUCUACUUUUUUUUUAAACAUUAUUUUCCCCUUUUAUUCUCUUUCUUUACUCUACUGAUUUUUUGGAAAUGACUAUAUUUCAAAAAUGUAUUUAAAUCGAACUUUAGUUAAAAUAUAUUUUUAAUAAGAAGUGAGUAUUACUGCAGGAGAAUAUAACGGUGGUGCCAGCGGUCUAUUUGAAAUGGUAUUGAAGGAUACUGAAUUUUAUUUUUUACAACAAUGGUGCGUAAUAUGUUGCAAAAAAAUCUACAUAUUAAUAUCAAUGUACACAUUUUAUUAAAAAAAUAGAUGAACACCCAAAAACAACCUGAGUACUAUGUAGGAUCUAGUUGUUGAAUUGAGUUGGAUGGAAUUGGAAAGUUCAUAAAACUUAUCAUGUGUUUUUUUAGUACUUAUCAUGAGUUAAAAAUCAUAAAAAAAUGUAGGAUCUAUUUUGGAGAGUCUGCAUGCGGUGUAUGCAAAAGGUGUGCCGUGAGUCUCUUCUCCGCAAGGUUUGUAAACUGUUUCUGCAAUUUUCGCUCUUUUUAAUAUAAUGAUGCGUUUUUUAUCAUAUACUUUUUAGAGCGUCGGUAACGUGAACCUCAAAGAGAACGAACUAGAUUCGCCAAACUGAAAGUUAGCCUAUUGCAUAUGCACGGUGUGUUCCAAACAGAGUUGAAGCCUCCGUAGCCGAUGCCAACAGAAAAAAGAAAAUUACGCGCAGAGAAUGGAGAAAUGAACAGAAACAAAGCUAGAGAGCGGGCGCCCGUGUGAUUGAGUUAACAUCAGGGUCCGAGUCCCAUGGUGUCUCCGGAACAAGGUUCCAAAAUAGAGCAUAAUACAGACAAAUCGAGAGGGAAAAAGCAUAUGGAAAAGCACACGAACUUUCUUUUUGUCACCAGAAAAAGCAUAUGUUUAGAAAGCAUAUUUUUCAUGCUUCCUAAACAUCGGUUGGCAGAGAUGGCAACACUUGACAGAAUUAGAAGGUAUGAACAACAUGAGCAUCUGAUCUCUUAGUUGACAAAAAUACAAAAGCCACCUCGGAUUUGAACAUGCUGCUAUUUCAGUGCACAUAGCCAUCUUGUUUCUUUUGCUGAUUCUAAAUUACAAGUUCCUGAUUACAGGAUUCCUAUUCUUUCCCUUCAUUUAAAAAGGAACAAACAAUUAGUUUGAUGCUUGACUACUUUAUGUUCACAGAAUAUUUCCUAGGCAGGGCAGAGCACGAUCUCUCACUACAUCACAGUAGUGCAAGUGUGAUAAAAUCGAGGAAUCCCCGGUCAUUAUCAGCUAUGAGGAGUAUAUAAAGUCACAAAACGAGCAUUAUCCUUGUAAUUUUUCUCUAAAAUGGUUAUAAAUAUUACAUGGUACAUGACCACCCACUUAAAAUUCUCACGGAACUUAAAAAAAGGUCUCAUGGAAAAAAAUUAACUACAAACUACUGAAAGAUGCAUUACAUUUUGCUAAAUGAGAUCAGCUGGCGAGAAACAAGCGACAGCAUACAAAAACUACAAAUGAGUGAUGUGUUAUACUAGUGCAAGUUCGUAGUUUACAACAUAGUACCUCUAAUUGUAAAUCAACAGAACAGAUUAAUGUAACUUUGCAACCUUCUUGCUAUGGCUUUGUGUAAUGCCCCGUUGCCAUCAACGACUCGCCGGCGACGUGAGCGCAAACACCAAUAGGAAUUAGGAGGUAGUUUCGAGAACUAUAGUUUUCAUUCACAAGUCAAUACUGAUUACAAUUGUUACCCAUCCGACACACUUAAUACCCUACACACAGGCUAACAGCCCGGCCCUACCUGUAUGUCACACACACAUACAAAACACACCACUCACUCCUGAAGACGUACUCCUAGCGCUGCUCCUUCUCAGUCACAACCGGGCAUUACAUCUCCCCCGGCUGCAGAAGUUGCUUGUCCCCAAGCAACGGCGUCAGGAAACCUGUGCUUGACAACAUAGAAAUCUUCCCAAGUAGAAGAAGUAGCAGGAAUGCCAGUCCACUUGACAAGAAUGUGAGGAAUUGCUCUGGAUCCCUUCUUGACCAGGCGGCAAUCAAGCACAGCUUCUGGUGACAGGUUUUGUACAGACAUAUCUGUCAAUUUAGGCAGCUCCUUGAAGACUGGGGUGUAGUUGGGUGUGAAUGGCUUGAGUUGAGACACAUGGAAAACUGGAUGAAUGAGGCUUCCCUCCGGCAAUUUCAACUUGUAUGCAGCCUGUCCCAUUUUCUGUUCCACCUCAAAUGGACCAAAGUAUUUGAAGGCAAGUUUGAGAUAACAUCUGGUUACCACUGACUGUUGUACAUAAGGCUGAAACUUGAGUAAAACUUGCUCUCCCACCUAAAAACUCAUGUCUACACGAUGGCGAUCUGCCUGAAGCUUAAAGCGAUUUUGUGCUGCAGCCAGGUGUUGUUUCAGAGAUGCUAGUUGUUGUUCUCGUUCUUGCAGGAACUCAACAGCUGGGUUUUGGUCUUGAGUCUCCAGAGGUAAAAAUGUGCCCAAAUCUUCUUCAUAACCAUACAAAGCCUUAAAAGGAGAGCAGUCCAAAGAAGUAUGGUAAUUAGAAUUGUACCAUAGUUCAGCCAAAGAGAACCAAGUUUUCCACUGUUUGGGUGAAUCUUGAACAGCACACCGAAGGUAUAUUUCAAGGCAUUGAUUCACACGCUCAGUUUGACCAUCUGUUUGAGGGUGGUAAGAUGAACUUCUGAGCAAUUUUGUAUCCACUAAUUUAAACAGUGCUGUCCAGAAAGUACUUGUGAAAAUCUUAUCUCUGUCAGAGACAAUUGUCCUGGGCAUGCCAUGUAAUUUGAUCACCUUGUCAAGUACCACUUUGGCCACUGCCUGGGCAUUGAAUGGGUGUUUGAGAGGGAUAAAGUGGCGCAUUUGGUGAAUCUAUCAACCACCAUUAAUAUGACAUUGCACCCUUCAGAUAGUGGCAAGCCUUCUAUAAAAUCCAUGAAAAUAUCCUGCCAAGCACCUUGAGGAAUAGGAAGGGUUGAAGCAAACCACCUGGAUGGUUGUGCUCAUGUUUUGCUUGCUAACGGAUGGUACACUGCUUCACAAAGUUGUCAACAUCAGUUUUCAUGCCUUUCCAAUAAAAGAGUUGCUUGACUCUGUAGUAUGUAGCUUUUGUUCCAGAGUGGCCUCCAAUAACACUAGUGUGUAAAGCAUCAAUUACUCUUGUUUGUAAUGCUGAAUUUGCAGCAAUCCAUAUUUUGUUGUUGAACUUGAUAAGGCCUUGAUGUAAUGAGAAACCUUGUUCAUCUGGGGAUUUGAUGGCUAGUCUGGUUAAUAAUUCUUGAGCUUGAGGAUCAGUAGCAUAAGAAUUGAGCUCCUCUUGGACCCAAACAGGUUGAGCUUCAGAAACAGCUUGUAUUGCUAAUAAAUAGAGAUGAUAAAGCAUCAGCUGCCAGAUUGUGUUUGCCGUUUCUGUAAAUUACUUUGAAUUGUAACCCCAUAAGCUUGGUCAUUGCCUUCCUUUGCAUUUCAGAAUGUAGAUUUUGUUCAUUGAGAUAGGAUAAGCUCUUGUGAUCUAUUCUAAUGACAAACUCUUGUCUCUGGAGAUAUGGCCUCCAUUUCUCUACAGCCAUUAUCAAAGCCAAAAACUCCUUUUCAUAGAUAGACAAUUUCUGAUGGGUGGGUCCUAGUGCUUUACUCAUAUAAGCCACAGGUUGGUCUCUUUGCAUCAAAAUAGCUCCCACUCCUGAGUCAAAAGCAUCUGUUUCGACAAUAAAUGGUUGAUUGAAAUUUGGAAUAGCUAAAACUGGAGCUAUUACCAUUGCCUCCUUUAGCUUGUCAAAUGUUGCUGGAGCUGUUGCAGACCACUCAAAUUGCUUCUUCUCAAGCCAUAAUGUUUGAUAGAAUUUUUUGUAGUAGCCUGUGAGACCCAAAAAGCCCCUCAACUCAGUUACAUUUGUGGGAAUUGGCCACUUUAGCAUUGCUUCUAUUUUUGCUAGAUCAGUAGCCACACCCUGAUCAGAGAUAAUGUGCCCCAAGUAUUCAAGCUGGCUUUGAGCAAAAGAAUAUUUGCUAUGUUUCAGGAAGAAGUGAUGCUGUCUGAAUUUCUCUAGAACAAGUCUGAGAUGCUGGAUAUGUAAUUCCAAGGUGGGGCUGUAAAUUAAUAUGUCAUCAAGAAACACCAGCACAAAUUUCCUGAGAAAAGGACCCAAAAGCUCAUUCAUAGUGCAUUGAAAGGUGGCUGGAGCAUUGGUAAGCCCAAAUGGCAAGACCCUAAACUGGUAAUGACCAUGGUGUGUCUUAAAAGUUGUUUUGUGUUCAUCACACUCUUUCAUUCUCACUUGGUGAUAACCAGCUCUCAUGUCUAAUUUAGUGAAAUAUUUUGUGCCAGCAAGUUCAUUCAAGAUUUCAUCAAUAAUUGGCAGAGGGAACCUAUUCUUGAUAGUAAUAUCAUUGAGUUUCCUAUAAUCCACACAAAAAAUGCCAAGUGUCAUCUUUCUUUUGGACUAAUAAGACAAGAGAAGCAUAAGGGCUGGUACUAGGAGUUAUAAGACCAGCAGCUAGAAGUUCUAUCACCUGCCUCUCAAUCUCAUUUUUGUGCGAUGGAGAAUAUCUAUAAGGUUUAGAGUUAACAGGGAUAGCACCUGGAGUGAUUGGAAUUGGAUGAUCAUAAACCCUGGAGGGAGGUAGCUCUUUAGGUUCAGCAAAUACAUCCUUAAAUUCAUCAAGGACCUCCUGAAUUUCUUCUAGCACAGAUGGUGAUGCUUGAUCUGGCAGAACCUUGACAAUAGCAAAAGCCCAUAUAUCAUUGCCAGCAUCCCAUUUAAGCAACUUAUCAGCUGAGAGCUCCUGAACAGCCAAAUUGUUUGAGUUGACCCCUUUAAUGGUGACAAGCUGCCCUUUGUACAUAAGUUCCAUGGUCUUGUGCUCCCAAUGGUGAGUGAUGGGACUGUUGAGUUUGAGCCAAUCAUAGCCUAAGAUGCAAUCAUAAGCAGCUAUAUCCAGAACUCUCAUAUCACAGCUGAAAGUGUGUCCCUGAAUCCAUCAUUCCAAUUGGGGUACCAUUUGAUCAGAAAUUAAUACCUCUCCAUUGGCUACCUUUACUGUCUUAGGUGGUGCAGGUAUGGAUUGUAUGCCAAGUUUCUUCAAAAAUGUGGAGCUAACAAAGCAAUGAGAACUACCACUGUCCACUAGCAUCAACAUAACUUUGUUUUUAACAAGAGCUCUUAAUCUCAUGACCUCCCCGUCAUCUGUUCCAGGAAUGGCAUUGAGAGAUAGAGUACCAAAAUCAGCUGCUAAGGCAUCCUCAAUGUCCAACUAUGUUAACACCUCUUCAGUUAAAUUGAUGUCCAAAUCAUUCAGCAUAAGGGCAUUUGCUUGAGCUUUGGGCCUCUUAGUGCACUUAGAAGCAUGAGUAGCAUCAUGUGGUUCUCUGCAAUAAAAGCACAAAUUAUGAGUUCUGCAAUAAUCCCUGAGCUGCCUUUCCUUAGAAAGUGGGGCAGAUGUGACUGGUUUGUGUUGGUCCAUUCUGGCAGAAGAUGAUGCAGCUGGCCAUCUUGUGCUGUUUGGAGUUUUCAGCCCUUUUUUGGUAUUUUUGUCUUGAAUCUAUUACUGUAUUUUAGCCAACAUUGCAGCUCUUUCCAUGGAAUGUGGGACUUGUCCUUGAACUGCAUAUCUGAGCUCUGGCUUUAACCCUCUAAUGAACUGGGAGAUAAAGUAAGUAUCAGGCAUGCCUCCACUAUGCAUGUCCACCUGAAACUGCAGAGCUUCAAAAGCAGCUGCAUAUUCUUCCACUGAACCUAUUUGCUUCAGGUCCAACAAUUCAUCGAUAGUAUGUUGGUAAUCAUAAGCUCCAAAUUUUUGCUCCACAACUUUGAUGAAUUGAUCCCAUGUCUCCACCAUAUUAUUUCUUUUGGAAACUCUAAACCACCUAGAAGCAUUUUCAUCCAUGUGCAUCACUGCUGUCAUAAUUUUCAUAUGGUCAGGGAUAUAAAAAAUCUGAAAGUAUGUUUCACACUUGUCACGCCAGAUUGUGGGGUCUUGUCCUUCAAACCUAGGGAAUUGCAUCUUCGGCAUGGAGCUCUUAUGCACAUAAGAAUUGUGCCCAGCAUGGCGACCACCAAAAGUAGAACGAGAAUUUUGGGGCUCACCAAAGACUGCAUGGUCUUAUCGAUGGUAAUUCUGACGGUGGUAAGCUGCAGCCGAUGGUGUAGAACUUCCCCCUUGUUCUGGAUCGUCUUUCCCCAUGUGCUCCAGCGUCAAUUUCGCCACCGCCUGACCAGUGGCCUCCAACUGCUGUGCCAUAAGUUGCUGCUCCCGCAUGGACAGAUCAACCGCCUUGCUGUUGAUAUCAAGCUUCACCUGCAUCUGUUGCUGAGUGAUGGUGAGGUCUUCCAUUUUGGAGAACAACAAAUCCACAGACUCCAUCAGCUUGUCCAAUUUCGCAUCUGUCUUGGCAUACCCCUCCGCCAUUGCGUCGAGCACAAACUGGGACUGCACGGAAGGUUUUGGUGGAGCUGUGGUGAACUGCCCGCAAAUCGAGUCGAGGUAGAAUGGGAAUUACGGGAAAUCAAUCGCCGUCGCCGGUGCCGCGCGGCAAACGACGGGAUCUCAGCAGACCCACUCCGGUUUCGAGCUCAGAUCGACGGAGUAUUGCAAUUCAACGCACGAGCAACCGAUCCAAACCCUAACGCACCAGAAUCGCCCGUAGGAAUAAGGAAUUGCUGGGAAGGCACCUGAAUUGAGAAGAAAAGACACCGCCGCCGUGCGCCGCCUGCUCAGCCCGCCACUGCGCGCCGCCGCCGCACCGAACCGCCCCCCCCCCCCAACCCCCAAAAAAAAUUCAAUUGGUGAAGAAAAACAGGUUUUUAUACCCACCGGAAUGUUCCNNNNNNNNNNNNNNNNNNNNNNNNNNNNNNNNNNNNNNNNNNNNNNNNNNNNNNNNNNNNNNNNNNNNNNNNNNNNNNNNNNNNNNNNNNNNNNNNNNNNCCCCCCCCCCCCCCCCCACACACACACACACGCUGAGGAAGACAAGUCUCUGAUACCGACUGUAAUGUCCCGUUGCUAUCGACGACUCGCCGGCGACGUGAGCGCAAACACCAAUCGGAAUCAGGAGGUAGUUUGGGAAAGGAACCUGAACCUCGAGAACCAGAGUUUUCAUUCACAAGUCAGGCCAUGUUUAGUUCACUCCAUAAUUCCAACUUUGGCACUACGCAAAAGGAAGAUUCCUCAUCACAUCAAACUUGCGGUACAUGUAUGGAGUACUGAAUGUAGACGAAAUCAAAAACUAAUUGCACAGUUUUGUUGUACUUUGCGAGACGAAUCUUUUGAGCCUAAUUAGUCAAUAUUUGGACAAUAAUUCACAAAUACAAACGAAACGCUACAGUGUUGCUACAGUAAUUUUAACACCCCAAAGUUGGGCAACUAAACAAGGCCUCAAUACUGAUUACAAUUGUUACCCAUCCGACACACUUAAUACCCCACACACAGGCUGACAGCCCGGCCCUACCUGUAUGUCACACAUGCAUACAAAACACACCACUCACUCCUGAAGAUGUACUCCUAGCGCUGCGCCUUCUCAGUCACAACCGGGCAUUACACUGCUCCGUCGAUAUAGGAUUUUAAUUUUAUGCUUGUCAUAGCCAUAGCAAAUAUUUGAUGUGUUCCCUAGAACAUCCCAUUUCCAGUCUUUUAUUCCUCAUUUCCCUUAUCCAUCCACGUUAGAUGAUUUAGAAGUUCAGAUGUAGCUGGCUAGCUAUGCACCGACUUUCCUUUUCUUUCUGAAUCCAAUCCACAAUCGUCCCUCGCAGCUGGACAGGCGCAUGUACAAACCACAGGUUGAGGAAUUGAAAGAUCACAUUUGUCCGUCUCCCUAUCUCUUGGUCAUGGCAUAGCAACAUCUUUCCUUCCCUAGGUCCCUGAAAAGUUCUCCAUGGCCGCAUGCUUGUUCUCUGUGAGCUCAUGCUUGCCUUCUCAAUCAUAAUGUAUGAAGCACCGUGUUUUAAUUUCCAAAGCAUUUGGUAGACUGUCGCUUCGUCAUUCUUGCAGAAGUAAUCUAUUGCCUUUGGCAGCAUGAUCUCUUCAAGUUGCCCCAAGGUGAAGUUCACAUGCAAGGAAUGCUGCUCCUCACUGUAGAUUGCCGGUAUUGCAGGACUCCUAUCUACAAGUAGAAUGUCUUCUAAAUGCCCAUGGGGCGUCAAAAGGACUCCAACUUUCAGAUAUGGAGAAUCUUGUACAGAAUUUUUGGUUUCAAACAAUAAGGACCUAUGUUGGAUGCACUCUGAGAGCGAGACAUAGCACUGCAGAUGUACUUCAAUAACUGGUUCUAGAAAGGCACCUAGUAAUCUUGACUUGUUUAACUCCGUACCGUGAUAGAGCUUGUGCUGAACAUUCUGCUUGCAACAUAACGGGUUUGGGCGAAACCAAUCAGUGCCAAAGUUGUGAAGAUUGUCCCAAUGUUCUUUGUGGUGUGUAUCAACAACUGGCACCCAUGAGAAGUGUUCUGUAGGUAGUUGCAUAAGUUCUUUCGUAAUGGUUUCAACUGUAGACUUGAAAAUAGGGCCAUACAGCUGUAGGCACUUAAUUGCAGUCCCUACUAUGUCUGUACUCUCUGAAAGCUGUAGCAUUAAAGAAAGGAAAAAGUCAUCUUCUGAAACAUUACCAUCUGUCCGAAUGAAGAUGAGUCUAGCCUCUAUUCCAUGAUCUGAAGUUAUAUAGGGCACCAACUGUAGAAACAAAGGGCACUUGUUUGCUCGAAUGAUUCUGUGCUGUAGUUUCUUGCAUGCAAGAAGGUGCAUGAUAAGAGGGUCAAAGGGCAUGUGACAACGUGGCGUACCACCAAGCUCUACUAAUCUCAGAAACUCUCUAGCCCCAUCUGCUAACCACUCAAAUCUUCGAGCAAUGGAACUGUUCGACUCAUCUUUGUUGAAGCUGAUGACGGAGAAGACAAAUGACUUAGUAGUAUGUGCCAUACGCACAGGAAAUGAGGAAUUCCUCACCCUCUUUUCUGUCUCUACAUCUUCCAGGAUCCUCUGUUUGCAUUUGUGCAGCGUGUCAUCGCACUCUUGGGCAGCACGCUUCAGCUUCCUGCGCCAACGCAACAAGGAUGCAUCAGUGAUCUGCCACUUUCCUGACACCUCAAGAGCAGCCUCUAGCCUGAUGUUUGCCAUCUCUAGCCUCUCCAAGUUUCUGUUCGCAUUAGAUUCCUCUUUAUCCCCAUAAUUUUGAACCAGACUAGAUAGGAUUUGGCUAACUGUCUCGUUGACAACUGCAGAACUGACGAUCUCCGCCAUCGGGAUUCAAGGAUCUGUAGUAUCCCUUCCCUGUUCAGGAAAUUCAACACAAAACAGCAAACAUGAGAGACAAAAAUAUAUGAACUUUGGAUCACAAGCAAAGAUUUAGCUUAGCAGCUGUAAAGAACCUACCUUUGACUGGAUCACAUGGGCAGCUAUCCUCUGUAUGUAGGGAUAUCUCGAGGGUAAAAUCAUACAGUGAGGGGCAUGAUGAGAACUUAGAGAGAAUUCAGGGAUAGCAAAGGCUUCGACGGGGAGAAAACAAGGUAUGCAAGCCAAUGAGGAGGGAUGUGGAGGGUCUGGUCUUACCAAGGGAAAAAGAGGUAGGCAGGCAGGUCCCUCAGGAUUUCAGGAAGAAUUAUUUGACUUGUUGUGGAAAAUCAAAUGAAGAUCGGUGCGAAUGCAUGUGUGAUGACUAACCACAGGAAAAGAAAGUGAGACGCAACUUGAGAAUAUUUUGGAAUGUCUUGGUCUUGUAGAUAAAACAAUACAAAAACUUGGAAGUUCCUUUUUACGAGUCUUGGUCAGCAGUGGACAAGGAACUUGGAAAAACCUUGGGCGCUUGUCAGUGGCAAUUUCUAGUAUAUGACGCCAAUGUUGAAGUCUUUGUAAGGGCCCCUUAAGCAGGCGGCGCUAGGGUUGAUGAAUCCCUUUGCGGCGAGAGGGCGGAAAGAGGUAGGCCACGGCCAACAUGGGGGAAUGGGUGGAUCCGGCGGGAGACGCACCUGAUUCAGCGGCGCCUUUCCUCAUAUCCUCUGCCGCUGGUGCCCUCUGGUUGCCGCUGCGGCGCGCCCCAGCACCGCGGUGUCGCUGCGAGGCCUAGGCUCUCGCCGGCCGAGCGCGUGGCCUUCCGCUUCGCUGGCUCCGCGCCGUUGCGGAUCUCGCCGUUGCUGCCCGUCAUGUUUCCGCCGCCGCCGCCGACCCGGUGCUCCGUUUCCACUGCAGACGAGCUCCUCAUACCCCAGGCGACCGAUUCCGACACGUUCCAGUCUCCUCCACUUGCUCCUGCUCCGCUGGCCUGAGGCUCCAGGAGCUCGGCCAUGGCCGGCAGGAAUCCGAUCAGAGCAGCAGCGCGCCGCUCUGUCUCCAUCUCUCCGACCCGUGUCUCUUGGGCCUAAAGGCCCGUAAUCCCCUUGAAAAGCCCACUUAACAAUUGUGGCUGCCAAAUCUCAGCCCAUAAGCUACAGGUCAGAGAGGCAUGAAAUCUUGUCGAUCUUCCAAAGAUUUUAAACUCAUGCGUAUGUUUAAAAUUCGUGUCACAGCAGAUGGACGACUCAUAUUAGGUGGGGAUGCAAGCCAACCAGCCAGCAUCAUUUGUUGAUCACAUAGCACAUAUGUGUGCAGCUAAUUAAUUUUCUUUUUUAUUUUGAUGUGUUUCACAUAGCACAUAUGUAUAACUUAUCAUAUGUAUUAGAUCCUGACUUUUACAUGUAUACAUGCUUCAAAGCUUUGUUAAAAUUGAUUUAAAAAUUUACGAAACCUAAUUCCAUAUGUUCAUAAAAUGUGAUUCAACAUUAAUCUAGCCAUUAGCCAUGGUGGGCACUUAGAGUGGCACGCUAGAGAAGAUUGAUAUGAAGUUGAGGAUUUUCUUUCAAACAAUAUAAAAAGAAUGAUGCUUUUCAAGUAAAGAUACGCAGCUGACUAAUUUUCCUUUUAUUUUUAUGUGUUUCUUUGUUCUAAUAUGUAUAACUAAUCAUAUCUAUUACUACCUCCGUUUCAAAAUAUUAAUCAUUUUAGCUUUUCUAGAUAUAUAGGCUCAGCUAUGUAUCUAGACAUACUCCGUAAGUCUAUAUUUAGGUGUGUAGCAUCUAGAAAAGGUAAAACGACUUACACUUUGGAACAAAAGGAGUAGGUUCCAAUUUUUACAUUUAAACAUGCUUCAACGUUAUGUUAAACUUGAUUUGGGAAAGAUUGAUACGAAUAUAUUUAAGGAUUUUAUAUGGAGUGCGUGCCAUGUUAAAUUUUAAAUACUAAACUUUUGGGAUUAUUAUUGGACCUAUGACAAUUGGCAGAGGUUGGAGACGCUUCCAAAGGGGUGGGGGCGCAACCUAACAGAUUUGGUACGCAAGCUUUGGCCAUGACCAACCUCCAACCUUCGCCCUGCCAACAAACAUAUAUGGACUGUAUUUAAUGGGGCAGCUGAGACUCGACGUCGGCGAAGUCGAGCCGAUGUGGAGCGAGCCGCACUAGAUCAUACACAGAGAUGGAUUGGGCGGUCGGCAUGCAUGACCAAAUAGACCCGAGCAUUUUAAGCCCAACCCGAUCCUGAUGGGUUUUGGCACGCUCACGUUAGCUGUCGAGUCGGGCAUGUUCAACGAAAAUCAAGCUCAAAAAAAAAUCGGGCUGGCCCGAGCCACCCAAGCAAUUAAUUUUAUUUAUUUUUCAACUAAAAAAGAAGGCCUGAUCUAAGCCCAGCCCGAACCCAGCCCAAAAACUCGGCCUGACAACAUCCAUGGGAUGUUCGUGAGCACAAAUUUUCAGCCCAAAAUGAACCGGACUUUUUACCAGCCCAGCCCGCAAAAUGCUCAUGUCUACCUCCAAGCUUCGCCCUGCCAACAAACAUAUAUGGAUUGUAUUUAAAUUUUUUUUGAAUUGGAUUGGAUAUUAGACAGUUUGUAUUGGACUUGGAUUGUUUUACGUGGUUUUAACUGGACUUGGAUUGGGUUUGGAUUGCUUUACGUGGUUUUAACUAGACUUGUUCAUUUGGACUGGGAUUGCAAUGUUAUUACUUACUAGGAAAUAUGCCUGUGCGUUGCACGGGAGGAAAAAAGCAUCGCACAUCCCAAUACACAUGGCGCAAAAUUUGGGUGAUAAUUUGAUGUUGUUUGUCAAUUUUCAAUUAGGCCAAAUAGAAUUGCUAAAUUAUUGAAUAUAUUUUUUUUUCUUCCUUCAUUUUUUUUAUCUUUGGCGUUUGUUUCUUUUAUAGCAAAUAUGCCCGUGCGUUGCAAUGGGAGCCUCUAUAUAUCAUCAGCGAUGCACCCCUACAUAUAUCCUCUCUUAUCGACAGUGGCGACUGACGUUCAUAGUUUCUCACGAAGCUCACACUUGCAUAUAUCCAUCCUCGUUAGCCUUGGCUUUGCUUCUUUGAACGUUGUUGUUCGGUAGGCUUCACCAAGCUUGUAUGCAAUUCAUCAGUGAUGCCUUCCGCAGUCUCCCACCAAUUGGUUCUUGUCUUCAUUUUCCUUUUUUCUCUUCUUCCCUACCCAUCCGCAACAGAGCUCUCAUUCCUUGAUGGUGCAAAACAACUAACAGAAUAAAAUUACCUGUUGUAUUAUGAUAUUUUUGGUAUUGGGGUGACCUAACUUUUUAUUCUCGUUUGUAGGCCCAAUCCAUUCAGCCUAGCCCAUUUUUAAUCCAAAUCCAUAUCAUUAGCGUUAAUAAAAGUAUUUUUAUUGCAACAAAGUAUUAGCUUUACAAAACAUAUUUAUUACACCCUUCCAUGUUCCAUACAUACAUAUACACAAUCUAACAUAUAUAGAUUUCUAGUAUCCAGAAGCCUUGUAACAGUGCGUUCAUCACUUUUAUAGGUCAGCUUUAGCUUCAGCGAAUCAGCCUAAUUUGUUGCUUUUGCAUUAGCUGCUGUUGAGGUCAUCCUCUUCUACAGCCGGUUUUGCUUAAGGUAUCUGCAACAAGAGAAACUGUAUGGUUUCAGAUAGAGGCAAUUUUUCAUGAAAGAGGGUACAUAUUCAGGGUACGGAUUCAAUUUCCCACAAAGAUAUGUUAAAAUCAGAUUACUUCAUAUGUGAAGAUACUUCAAUUUUCCACUAUCAACAUAUCUUACCUGUAGUAUACAAUUAUUCUUUUGUCAUAUGUGAAGAUACUUCAUAUUUAUCUGAAUUUUGCCAGUGUGAAAUCUUCUUUCAGUACUGCAAGGUCAGAAUAGAAUCAGUGAGAAUGAUAAGGCUUCAAGAAACAUAUUUGAUGAAAUUAUCAAUAAAAUUGCUAGUGACGUUCCUGCAAGGAAGACUACUAUCACACUGAUUGCUACACUGGCAGAUGCUUGAUUCGGAUGACCAGCAGUAGAGAUAAGCCACUAAAACAGUUAAUUCAAGCGAGGCAACAAUACAAGCAAAACACUUCAUGAUGUAAAGACUUUGCAUUACAUAUAGCUUACUAUCCCACAAGGAACACUGAAUACUGGAGAAUAGCUAAACUCUGCAUAUAAUCAGUGCAAGUACAUGUACCAUCUACAGCAACAGUAAUUAAGAAGCAAUAAACAAGUUGCAGUCCAAUUAAGAAAUACGAGAAUCUCAUGCAGUAUGUAAACCUACAUGGCAGUAUCACCAUAAAGAGAGCAGCAUCAGGCUAGUAGCAGCAACUCACGUGCUAGAUCUUGCCUCUAAUCUCCAUUUUUCCCCAAAUCAGAUAAAGCAUCCAAGCCACAACAGUGCAUCCCAUGCUAUUCCUCAGGCCAAGCGCCAGAGAAGCUCAAUCUGUAGCAGUCCAGGGGUGCAGGCGGAUUAAAGUGGAGUUGCAAAAAAGGGAGAAAGUGGAGUAGCUCGUGGCUGUACCUGUAGAUUGCUGCUUGAGAGAGGAGGCAGUUAGGCAGCGGCCCCUGCUGCUCGACGGAGGGAGAGGCAGCCGCUGUUCCCGGAGGGGUGACCACUGCUUGGCCAACAGGCUUGGCCUAUUGGCCACAGGAGCACAAGGGCAGAAGCCCGCCGCGAGCGGAGGCACGCGGGGUCGCCGGCAAGGGAGGGCGGUCGCGCACCGUAGGCAGCUUGGGACUGGGGUUGUGCGCAGCUGCCGGCGAGGCAAGAGUGGCUUGCGCUAGCAGGCAGCCAGGGUGUGGUGCCAGCGGCGGCGGCAUGGGAGAAUAGCCGGUGCACCAUGCCAGAUCCAGAUGGAGGAUGAGGAGGCGGCCCGCGGGGCUUUUUUUUUGCAAAAUCAUGAAGAACUACUCCAACGACUAUGGGUUUGAUUAAAAAAAAGUUAAGGGGUUUUUUUUGCAAAACGAUCGUGACGGUUAGAAGAAACAACCGCUCUUUUAUAUCUAUACCUAUUAUUAAAGUAAGCAACAUCUCUGCCACGAUUUUCAUACGUCACCCUAAUCUUGCAAAAAAGGUCCUGACAUUUCGUGAAAUCAACCCGCAGUCCAAAUUCUGAAGAGAAGAGGGCCUCGGGUGUUAAAGGGAGGGAAGAGAGGGGGUUAAAGGGAAAAAGCUUCUCCUUCCUUUAAUAAUAGGUAUAGAUAUAAAAGAACCAUACAUAAAUACCUCAUCUCCCAAGCCUACUAUAAAUAAAUAUCUAACCUCAUUAGCUAUUCGAAAUGAUGUAUCAUGGUCCGUAGAUUGUUGAAUUAGUUGGACGAAAAUGUUGAAACAGGCAGCAGCCAGUCGGACUACCAAUCCUGCGCGUAUGCCCUGUGGCCUGACUAAGAGGAUCUGGACUACCAGUAUUCGUAUAAAGAAACUUUCAUCCAACUGGAUGUUGGAGGAUGACCCGUGGAUAUGGUCGUCAACAAAGUUGACUCACUGACUUGGAAAUUGACCUCAUUGACUUAGUGACUUGGAAGAAGACCUCAUUGACUUCUUAGUGACUUGAAAAUUAGGCUAAGUUGGAAGAAGACCUCAUUGACUUGGUGACUUGGAAAUUAGAGACUUGCGAGAUUGAAUCGGCAUUUUAAAUAGCCUUGUUAUUACUCGCUGCAUCAAGGAGCACAGAGCCAAGCUAUGCGGACAGCCAUGGAGCACCAUUGCUCCAUCCUACUCGUAGCCUCCCUCCUCCUUGCAUCUCCAGCAUGGACAUCGGCCUCCGCGGGAAGUGACGGCACCGGCGCUGACCACCGUGCGCUCAUGCAGUUCCGGUCCCUCAUCACGGACGACCCAUACAGGGCCUUGGCAUCAUGGGGCGCCGGCAACAUGACCGCGCCGGCGCCGUGCGGGUGGCACGGCGUCACGUGCGGGGUGCGCGGGCGCCGCCGCAGCCGCGUGACAGCGCUGGACCUCCACGGGCUCGGCCUGGCCAGCUCCGGCACCGCGGCUCCUUCAUCCCUCUCGGGCCUCACCUACCUCCGGCGACUCGACCUCUCCAGGAACCGCCUCGGCGGCGGCGUGCCCUCCCCGUUGCCGCCCUCCCUCGAGCACCUCAAUCUCAGCCACAACGUGCUGCAGGGGCCGGUGCCCCCAGCGCUGGGGUCACUGCACCGCCUCCAGAAGCUCAGUCUCAGCUACAACAACCUCACCGGAGCAAUCCCUGCCUCCCUUGGCAACCUCACCUCCCUCACCAUCCUCGGCCUCGCCAACAACAACCUUGCCGGCGCCAUCCCUGGCGCUCUCGGCAACCUCAAAGCUCUCACCGGCCUCUACCUCUCCAGCAAUAACCUCACCGGAGCAAUCCCUGCCUCCCUUGGCAACCUCACCUCCCUCACCAUCCUCGGCCUCGCCAGCAACAACCUCGCCGACGCCAUCCCUGGCAGUCUCGGCAACCUCAAAGCUCUCACCGGCCUCUACCUCAACCAGAACAUGCUCCAAGGAUCCAUACCUUCCGCCAUGUUUAACAUCUCCUCUCUCCAGGAUCUUAACGUGCAGUUCAACAACCUCACCGGAGCAAUCCCUGCCUCCCUUGGCAACCUCACCUCCCUCACCAUCCUCAGCCUCACCAGCAACAACCUUGCCGGCGCCAUCCCUGGCGCUCUCGGCAACCUCGAAGCUCUCACCGACCUCUACCUCGCCCGCAACAACCUCACCGGAGCAAUCCCUGCCUCCCUUGGCAACCUCACCUCCCUCACCAUCCUCAGCCUCGCCAGCAACAACCUGCCGGCGCCAUCCCUGGCGCUCUCGGCAACCUCAAAGCUCUCACCGGCCUCUACCUCUCCAGCAAUAACCUCACCGGAGCAAUCCCUGCCUCCCUUGGCAACCUCACCUCCCUCACCAUCCUCGGCCUCGCCAACAACAACCUCGCCGACGCCAUCCCUGGCAGUCUCGGCAACCUCAAAGCUCUCACCGGCCUCUACCUCAACCAGAACAUGCUCCAAGGAUCCAUACCUUCCGCCAUGUUUAACAUCUCCUCUCUCCAGGAUCUUAACGUGCAGUUCAACAACCUCACCGGAGCAAUCCCUGCCUCCCUUGGCAACCUCACCUCCCUCACCAUCCUCAGCCUCACCAGCAACAACCUCGCCGGCGCCAUUCCUAGCGCUCUCGGCAACCUCGAAGCUCUCACCGGCCUCUACCUCGGCUUCAACAUGCUCCAAGGAUCCAUACCUUCCACCCUGGGCAACCUCAAAGCUCUCACCGGCCUCUUCCUUCACUACAACAUGCUCCAAGGAUCCAUACCUUCCGCCGUGUUUAACAUCUCCUCUCUCCAAAAACUUGACGUGCAGAUGAACAACCUCACCGGGACUCUGCCCCCGAACGCCGGUGGCAGGCUGCCCAGACUCACGUGGUUCGCCGUUAACAACAACCGGCUACACGGUACCAUCCCGCCGUCGCUCUGCAACGCCUCCAAGCUGGAGUUGGCGCAGAUGUCAGAUAAUUCCUUCUCCGGAGUCAUACCGAACUGCCUUGGAACUCACCUCAAGAACUUGUGGGCACUGAGACUGGACUCCAACAAGCUGGAAGCAAAUGUUGAUGCUGACUGGGGAUUCAUGGAUAGUCUGACCAACUGCAGCAAUCUGAAGGUCAUUGACUUGGCUAGAAACAAGCUGGGAGGUAUGCUUCCUGGCUCGAUCGCAAACCUUUCGACGAGCAUGGAGUACUUGAGCAUAAGUAACAACAUGGUAAGUGGGCAAAUACCUCAAGAAAUCGGCAACCUUGUCAACUUGAAGAGAAUUUAUAUGGAUCGCAAUAACCUUACUGGUAUUAUCCCUUAACAAGCUGGGCAACCUUCUCUUGUUCGGCAACAAGCUAUCAGGGCAAAUCCCACCAACAAUUGGCAAUCUCACCGUGCUCACCUCACUAUUCCUUGAGGACAACAUGCUCACGGGUCCCAUUCCUUCCAGUCUUGGUAGUUGCCCUUUGCAGUCGCUGUCCCUGGAGCACAAUCGCCUUACUGGUCCAAUACCAAAAGAAAUUCUCCUCAUAUCCACGCUUUCCGACUACGCGACUUUCCAAGAGAACAUGCUAACUGGAUCGUUGCCAUCGGAAGUUGGUCACCUGAAAAAUCUUGUGACCCUUGAUGUAUCUGGAAAUAGGUUAACCGGGGAAAUCCCCAACUCUCUUGGCGAUUGCCAAAUCUUACAGUCUUGCAGUAUGAAAGGGAACAUGUUUUAAGGGAAAAUUUCAGAGUCAUUGGGACAACCGAAGGCCCUCUUGGUUCUUGAUCUUUCAAGAAGUUGGUCACGUGAAAGGUCUUGAACAACUGCAUAUCUCCUUUAAUAACUUUGAUGGUGAAGUCCCAAAGCACGGAAUAUUUCUUAACGCUAGCGCAUUUUCAUUUGAGGGAAACUCUGGCCUCUGUGGAGGUAUUACUCAGCUGAAAUUGCCACCUUGCUCAGAUAAUGGCAGUACUAGCAACAAUAAGCCAUCACACAAACUUGUCAUGAUGGUCUCCAUAGCCACUGCCUUUCUAGGAAUCUCCUUGCUCCUUGCACUAUGUGUAUUAUGUCAUCAAAGAAGGAAGUUGAUAAAGGCAGAACAUGCCUUACCACUCAUCAAUGAUCAGUAUGCAAGGGUUUCAUAUGUCAACUUGAUGAAUGCAACAAAUAGUUUUGCUUCUGAAAACCUCAUAGGCAUCGGAAGCUUCGGCUCUGUUUACAAGGGAACAAUGAUAAGCCAUGACCAAGAAGUUGUUGUCGCUGUGAAGGUGCUCAACCUUCAGCAGCGAGGGGCGUCACAAAGUUUCAUUGCAGAAUGUGAGACUCUGAGAUGUGCUCGACAUCGGAACCUUGUGAAAAUCUUGACGGUGUGUUCAAGUAUUGAUUCCGGUGGCCUUGAUUUCAAAGCUAUUGUAUUUGAUUUCCUACCAAAUGGAAAUCUAGACCAGUGGCUACACCACCGUCUCAGGGAACAUGGCACCCAUAGUAGGAUUGAUCUUGUCCAACGGAUAGACAUUGCCAUUCAUGUCGCUUCUGCACUCGAAUAUCUUCACCACUAUAAACCAACCCCGAUAGUUCAUUGUGAUCUCAAGCCAAGCAAUAUUCUCCUUGACAAUGACAUGGUUGCCCAUGUUGGUGAUUUUGGGCUCGCAAGAUUUGUGCAUCAAGACCAGACUAACCCCUCAGAUAUAUCAAGUGGUUGGGCUACAAGAAGGGGAACCAUUGGAUAUGCUCCUCCAGGUCAGGUUCUAACAAGUACACUGCAUUUUACUUUCAUGAUUGAUUGAAAAUUGAAAUCCACAAGCAAGUAAAAUGCAUUGCUCCUUUUUCCAUCAUUUAACAUUGUAGCUGUAGCAUUGCUGAUAGUCCUCAUUUAGUUGCUGAAUAAUAUGAGUGUUCCAAACAGAGUAUGGACUGGGUAACGAAGUCUCAAUCUAUGGUGACAUGUACAGCUUCGGAGUACUAUUGUUGGAAAUUUUCACAGGAAAAAGACCAACAGAUAGCGACUUCGUGCAAGACCUCAACCUUCAUAGGUACGUGCAAAUAGCACUGCAAGAUGAGCAAGUCACCAGUGUGGUACAAGAUCCGGAACUCGAAGGGAGAACAAGCAGCUCCAGUAGCACCAGAGAAAUUAUAGUUGCCUGUGUUACUUCAAUUCUGCAUAUCGGAAUUCUGUGCUCAAAGGAACUUCCAAUAGACCGCUUGCUGAUUGGUGAUGCCUUGAGAGCGCUUCACAGAAUCAAAGACAAUUAUAACCAGUUGCACUUAUUAAGUACAUAGAACUUUCUGAAACACAGGAUUUCCAUAUCCAGAACCAUUUUACAGUAUUCCGUGAUCAGAACAGAUACCAGGUCCUUGACCGCACUCAACCAAGUGUUGCGCUUUUUACUUUUAAAAAGACAUGAAAGCAUAAGAUUGACAUUGCAUACACAAUGGAUGCCAGUAUCGCAUCCACCUGCACAUCAGGGUCUAGAGAACAUUGUUAGAUUAUCUUAAUAUAUGAUGUGGCCCAUGUAAUUAAAGAGAAUGAUUUUCAUAUGAAAAGAUCGCAGUGUGUGUUUCUUUGAAGAUCUAUUAAUGUUUUACUCCAAUUAUUCAGAGAUAUGUUGUUUUGCUAUCUACAUAAUACAUACUCAUAAGGCAACUUUUUGCAUCCAACUUCUACUCUGGCAUUAUGCAGUUAUGCCUGUCAUCAUGCAAUCUGCAGAAAUUGAUGAAUGAUAUAAAUGGAGGGAAAACAGAGGUAAAGCUCUUGUUCCAAACCUGCUGAAGUUCUCAUCAGUCACCAAUAUAAACUGUUCAGCAACAAAAACAUGCAUGAUGCAUUGUUACAUUUUUAAAAGAAAUGAUGCAUCAUUAUGGAUUCUACUGCCUGCUGGCAUGUUUAACCAAUACUACAUUUUCUGCUUCACCAAGUCACUUUGUUCUUCUCAUGAACUUUUGAGUCAGAUCUUUGAGCGCUUGCCUCGAGUUAAGCACAACUUGAUCCUCACUAUCAGGAAGAUCAUCGAUAGCGCCCGCUGCCAGUUUUGCAUGUUCAGCAGCAAGAGACCUCGUCCUCUCGAUUCCCUGACUUUUUGAAAGGUAUUUGAGGGCCUACAAGUGUAAAAUUGAGCAGUUCUGAGACCACACUAGACAAUUUAUGAGCAUUUCACAACCCAAAUAGUUGGAUUAUAUUACUGGAAACAAAGAAAAGUACACUUUCCUUUCAAAAAAAAAAACACUUGCAGUACGAACCGUCUUAACAUUUAAAGGGUCAUCAAAUCCCUGUUCAACAAUCUCACGCAGUUCAGGGAAUUCUUCCAUCGCAAAAGGUAUGGGAGCUGUCACAAUUCCCUGUCCAUACAGGGCAUAUAUGAUUCCUUACAUGUCAUUGAUAUCUUAAAAAGUAAAAUACUACUGAGGAAAUAUUGAGUGAAUAACUGUAUUACUUGAUGGAUAUCAGACAAGGAGGCUUUGCCUAGUGAAGCUGAUGUGCCUGUGAAAUUGAGGAUGUCAUCGAUCAACUGAUAUGCUAUGCCCUGGAAGAGAGAGUGUAGGUCAUCUUAACAGUUCAAUUGUCUAGCAAAAAUAGGAACAGCUUCUGUCUAAGGAAAAAUACAACACACCAAGUGUCUGCCAUACUGAUAAGCAAGAGCUUGUACUUCUGUUGUUUGCUCAGCGAAGACAGCAAUAGCUUUGCAGCUGUCUUGUAGUAUGUCUUCUGCAAAUAAUAGUCCAUGCUGUACAAGCAUCCAUGAACAGGUGUCACAUUUGAAAGCAAAUAUGGCUAGGAAAAUUGUAGAUUGAUUAUAAAGGUGCAUAGCACGUACAUAUACAUAGGAUAGGGUCCUAGGGUUAGGAGGAGCCCUUGCCUAUGCUACAAUAAACCCUGGCGCCUGACCUGAUAGGGGCCAGCGGCAUAGCACAAGCGCCUAUCAGGGUGCCGGCAGCACAUGGGCCUAGCCGGGCUCUAGCCCAAUUACACAUAUUCCAACACGCUCCCGCAGUCUAAUCGUCGGUACCACAAAUGUUUAGACUGGACCUAAACUCUGUGAAUACAGACGAAGGCAACCCCUUGGUGAAGACGUCGGCGUACUAAGCCGAUGUGGGAACAUGUAGUACUCGAACGUCACCCAUAGCAACGCGCUCGCGAACGAAGUGAAGAUCGAUCUCAAUAUGUUUGGUGUGCUGAUGCUGAACCGGGUUGGAGGAUAUGUAGACCGCGAUGAUAUUGUCACAAUACACCAAGGAGGCGCGGCGAAGUGGGGCAUGGAGCUCCUGAAGAAGCUGGCAGGGCCAGGUAGCUUCGGCGAUGGCAUUGGCCAUGACACGGUACUCAGCUUCGGCACUGGACCUGGAGACAGUGUGUUGUCGCUUAGAGGACCAAGAAACCAGGUUGUCACCAAGGAAGACCGCAUAGCCGGAAGUGGAUUUGCGAGUGUCUGGACAGCCUGCCAAUCAGCAUCAGAGUAUACCACCAGUGAAUCCUGACCUGAACACGGACGCAGCAGUAGGUCGAGAUGGAGAGUGCCACGGAUGUACCGGAGGAUGCGCUUCAGGGCAGCAAGGUGAGACUCUCGCGGAUCAUGCCUGUGGAGACAGACUUGCUGAACCACGUAGGCGAUAUCCAGCCUGGUGAAAGUGAGAUACUGCAAAGCGUCGGCGAGACUGCGAAAAUCCGAGGCAUUGUUAACAGGAGCACCUGAAGCAGCCAACACCUUGGGAUUGGUGUCAACGGGAGUGGAACACAGCCUACACUCAGCCAUGCCAGCACGAUCUAGGAUAUCAAGCAUGUACUGCCACCGAGACAACAGAAAUCCUCCACCAACAACAGGCUGCACAUGCAUACCCAGGAAAUGAUGAAGAGAUCCAAGAUCCUUCAUAGAGAAUUCCAGCUGCAAAGCCUGAAUAAUCUGUCGAAGCAACAUUGGAGAAGAAGUCGUGAGUACAAUGUCAUCAACAUAGAGCAAGAGAUACACGAUCUCGGUGCCUCGAUGAAACACAAACAACGAGGUGUCAGAUUUGGCCUCCACAAAGCCAACAGACUGAUAAUAAGCUGUAAACUAACUAUGUCAGGCGCGAGGAGCUUGCUUCAAGCCGUACAGAGACUUGUUGAGGCGGCAAACGAAGUCUGGAUGAGCAGAAUGCUCAAAACUAGCAAGCUGAGCACAAUACACAGUCUCAGAAAGAGUGCCAUGGAGAAAUGCAUUCUUGACAUGUAGCUGGUGAACAGGCUAGUGACGAGAGAGUGCCAACGACAGAACUGUCCGGACAGUAGCAGGCUUGACGACUGGACUGAAAGUCUCAUCAAAGUCCACCCCUGGCCACUGAGUGAAGCCGCGAAGAACCCAUUGAGCCUUGUACCAAUCAAGAGAGCCAUCCGAAUUGAACUUGUGUUUGAAUAUCCACUUACCAGUGACAAUAUUAGCAUGCGACGGACGAGGCACAAGCUACCAUUUGUUGUUCUGGAGAAGCGUCGCAUGCUCAUCUUCCAUAGUAGCCCGCCAAUCAGGAUCAACAAGGGCACUACGGAAGGACUUUGGAACUAGAGACAACGGCGCAGUGUGGAACAGAAUAGGCUGACGGAACCCAAGCAUGGCACAGGUGGUCAUGCCAUGCUGGUUGAUGACGGGCGGAACAACGACAGCUCCUUUGGGAAGGACCGGAGCCCGAGCUCCUCGAUCGGCGCCUGGUGUGCUGGUGGUGGGCCGGCGUCAAAGGCUGGCAGCGGUGACAGGAGAUGAGGAGCAGCAGAGCGGCGCAUGUAGAUGAAGUGGAGUGGCGUCGAGUCGAAGCUAGGAGGGACCCAUGGAGCUGGGGGGCAAGCCGGCGCCGGGGAUCCACCAAGCGAUGAUGCUUCAGGGGCACUAGCGGGAACUCCAGGGGACGUGCCAGGGGCACCAGCAGGAACUCUAGGUCCACCAGCAGGGGCGCCGGGGUGACGCCAGGAGGUGCGGGUGGGCUGUGGCGAUGCACCAGGGGCGCCAGCGAGGGCGGACGACGUGCCAGGGGCGUGGAAGGGCCCAGUAGGGGUGCCAGGGUGCCGGGGUGACACUAGGGGCCGCCGAGGAGACACCAAGGGGCGCCGAGGCAGUGCUGGGAGGCGCUAGCAGGGGCGUCGGGGCAACACCAGGAGGUGUCGGGAUGGUGCCAGUGGGCGUUAGGAGGGGCACCGUAUGGGGCACGGCGGGGGGUGUUGACGGUGCUAGUGGGAUCUGCAGGCAAAGCGGGCUGUAACGUUCCGUUGGGAACCGGCACAAGGUCAGUAGCGUCGUCCAAAAAAUUGUAAUCCACCGGGGAAGGUGGAGAGGAACUCUCAGCAUAGGGAAAUGAGGACUCGUCAAAGGUGACAUGUCAGGAGAUGAUGAUUCAGUUAGAACCAAUGUCAAAACAACGGUACCCUUUAUGUUGAGCAGAAUAUCCAAGAAAAAUACACCAGGUGGACCGUGGUGCUAACUUGUGACUAACUGUGGCGGAAAGGUUGGGAUAACAUCUACAACCAAAGAUGCGGAGGUGAUCAUAGGAUGGUGCAGUGCCAUACAACGCCUCAUGUGGAGUGCAAAAAGCAAGGGUCUUGGUAGGUAGCAUGUUGAUCAGAUAUGUCGCGGCGUGGAGAGCUUUGACCCAAUAGUGAGGGGUAAGGCUUGCAUGGAAGAGGAGGGAGCGGAGGAUGUUGUUCGUAGUGCAAAUGAUCCACUCAGCUCGACCGUUUUGCGGCAACGUGUAUGGGCAUGACAUGCGGAAGUGGACGCCACGGGAGAGGAAGAACGUGCGGGUGCUGGAGUUGUCAAACUCGUGAUCAUUGUCGCACUAGACGGCCUUAAUGGUGGCACCAAACUGUAUAGUCAUGUAGGAAAAGAAGUUAGCAAGAGUAUCAAACGUGUCAGAUUUCAACCGCAGGGGAAAACUCAAGGAAAAAUGAGAGCAAUCAUCAAGAAUAAUCAAGUAGUAUUUAAAACCCGAGAUGCUAGGAAUAGGUGAUGUCCAAAGAUCACAAUGAAUAAGAUCAAAAUUUCUGGAGGCUCGAGAGGAGGACACCUGAAAGGGAAGACGGGUGUGUCGUCCGAGCUGACACGCAUGAUAGAGAGAUGAGCUAAUGUCUUUAUUACAUGAUGGUAAAAUGUGCGCAAGACGGGAAAGGGCGUCCAUCCCGGGAUGGCCGGGACGGUGAUGCCAGAUCAUAGAGGUGGCUGUCAGUGUUUUAGACCGGCAACCCGCCUAAGGGGUACCCUAGGUGGUCUUUUGUGCGGUAAGGAUUGUCGAGAAUCAAGGAAUCAAUGGUGACGCAAGGAGUACGAUUUAGACAGGUUCGGGCCGCUAGAUCGCGUAAUACCCUACGUCCUGUGUGUUGGUUUGUAUUGGUCUUGGAUGAACUGGAGUUGUUGUUUGAGGGGAUCCCUGCCCGCCCUUAUAUACACGGGAGGGCAGAGUUACAAGUCCGAGUCCUAGUCGAGUACUAUUACAGAGUUCUACUCGGUAUGGUCCGAGUAGUUUUCCAUGCAUACACUUGACUAGUCCGAGCAGGAUACGCCUAUCCCUUGUCCUGGUUACAUCCGAGUACGUCCCUUAGUGGGCCGUCCAAGGUCUACUCGGGACCUGGGGUGCGUGCCCGACAGUGGCGCCAACAGUGAGAGCAGCAGCAGCAAGGAGGUGCAAGGGGUAUAGUGGACCCAAACUAUUGCACCUGACGAUCACGUUCCUGGACCGAAGAUCCUUUACAGAACAACCAGACGGGUCAAAUUCAAUUGAGCAGUUGUUAUUGGUAGUAAACUGGCGCACGAGAAUAAGAUUCUUAACAAGCUUGCGGGAAACAAGGACAUUAUUAAGAUGCAAAGAACCGAGAAGAAUAGUUGUGACAGUAGAAGUGACAGGGAGUAAAGAACCGUCAUCGACAACAAUUGCUGAAGGAAAAGGCUCGGGCAGGAGGCGAUGGGCCGGCGUAGGUGCCCAGGAGGCAGCAAGGCUGCACGGCGCCGUGGCCAUGGCCAGAUGAACAGGAACAGACAGGGAAACAAAGAAGAAAAAAGAGGGAUUUGCCGAGAACGACUCCUAAACUCACGAUUGAACGAGCAAAACGGAACAAGGACGAUGAGACGAAUGAGAUGGUGUGCUCACCUUCGACCACCGAUGAUGAACAAUGGUAGCGGAAAAGCUCGCCGGAGUUGGGGAAGACGUCGGAGUCGGUAUCGGAUUCGCACAAUCCACUGCACCACGGCAUAGAGCUUGAAGAGAGGAGCUCCAUGGUGGUGUCGGUUUUCGCCAGAAGUCCACGGUUUCGCCGAAAAAUAUCACCAAAAUUUGACUAAGAUCGGACUUUGACAUCAGAUCUACGGAGCUCGUCGAGACGAACGCGGUGAUAUAUAUAUAUAUAUAGGCUGGCUUUGGAAAAAAAUAUUUUCAAGUUGACUUUUCUAUUAUUGGAAUUUCUGGAUUUAUUUAUAUGCACGAAAACAAUUCCAGAAAUAGCCGGACUUGUUUUCUAAAGCGAGAAAAAUAUCUAGAAACUUCCAAAAAUUCCGAGAUAAAUCUCAAAGUUGAGUUGGGACACAAGAAAUCCAAAUAAAAUACUUGGAGCUUGUGAAAAGGAUUCUAGAGCCUUCCAAAAAUUGGAUUUAGCUCUGAGAAAAUGAGAAUAAAUUCCAGAAAAUUCUUGGAAGAGUGUGGACAACGUCUAAGCGCAUUUUUGAAACUUUUGCACUCAUGAAACACUAAGAUGCAUCAGCAUGAAUGCACAGAUAUAGAACAACAUUAUUUAAUUUAGAAAAGCAAACAAUUAUUUUCCUAUACUAAACUUUCUGUAAAGAAAAAUAAAUGUUAGGAAAAUUUUAAAAUUAUAAGAAAAUUAUUAUUUAAUUAUUCCUUUUAAUCAUAUCCUGAAAUUCGGAAAUUUUAGGGCGUAACACUGGAGAGGGGUAUAGAUGUCUAGAUGACAAGACCUACGUUGACAGCUAACUACUGGUCCCGUCUCGUAUCUGUGCUCAGAGUCGUGCAAUGUGACCUGUGAUGACACCAAAUCUUUUUUUACUUGCAUCCAUUACUGGUAGUCUCUGAUAAAUUCAUCUCAAGUCCUAUACUGAACAAUGAGGGGUUUGCGGAAGUCGUAAGUCACCACCGUAGUCUUGAAGUUUGCAGUUUGUAAAUCUGAUCUAUGUACGAUACAAGUGUAGUUUGGAGCACUUCAGGUGUGGCUUAACGGCCAGCACUCGGCUAUAAAGUGCAGCAACAUUGUAUUUGCUGUUCUAGUGUGUAGUUCGGCCCAAAGCAGUGCUCUGUUUCCUGGGGGUGAGGCUGACUAUUUACAUGUGUAGUUUGGAGCAGUUCUGAGACAACACUAGACAAGUUAAACCCAAAAUUUUGGAGCAUGUUACUGGAAACAAAGAAAAGUACACUUUCAAUACGAACUGUCUUACUCCAUUUUACAGCUUAAAUGACGAAUAGUUAAAGAAUCAACUGAACGUAACAGCAUAUUGUAAGGCACUAAUCUGAUACCUCCACACCGUCACCCCACAUCAUACCUCAAACUUAUUCAAGUUUAUUAUGAGUAUAGUAUCUUUACAUCAGUACGUAUAAAAACUCCAGCACUAGAGAACAGCAUAAUGCAAGAAAGUAAGAAACGGAAUUCCUAACUAUCACUCAAGUAAAAUUCUGCUAUGUGCGUGAAUCCUUUUUUUUUGUCUUUUCUUUUUUUAGAGGCGUGAAUCGAUUUUUUCAGUCCGAUCUGUUGUUCUUGUGCGCCCGUUCGAGCCUCUUCUACGGCCCAGUUUUGCAACGCUCUUCACGGAUGCCAACCCAGUUAUUUUCAGCCUGCCACUCGGGCUUUUCUUCACGUGGACUCUAUAAUAGUCACGUCAUGCCUCUAAAAUAACAGAAAACUAUAACUUCUACAAGCUUUUUUUUAAGCAUAACUCCCAGUAUUUAAGAUCCGUGCUAUAGUAUAUUGAUAGGAUGGUUAAGAUAAGGUGGGGGAGCAAUCGAACCAUACAUAAAUACCUCCCCUCCCAAGCCUACUAUAAAUAAAUAAAUCUUGUAUCACCGUCUGUACGAAAAUGUUGAAACAGGCAGCAGGGAGCAAUCACGGUCUGUAGAUUGUUGAAUUAGUUGUACGAAUUAGUGACUAAGAGGAUCUGGACUACCAGUUGUACGAAAUCCUUGUCAAACUUCUUCUAAAUAUGUUUUGGCCUCUUAACACUUGUUGACACGCUUUGCAUACAUGUCAACUAACGCAUUCAACAGCACAUCUAUCACGAGCAAAAGCUGAAGAUACAAAUGCCGUGGUAACUAAAUUUGGAACAAUGCUUUCAUGCUUCUUGUCAGGAAACAGUUUCCCAUGUGUAGACCCUACAACCAUGCAUGGUGGUUCAAAGAACAAUGCCAAUAUACCUGAGCUCAACAAACAUGUGCUGAGCAUCCUCUUCCUCCCUGCGCCUAAUAACAUACUUCUACAACAGGCUGCACCGAGGAUUAUUAGUGAAAGAGAUGUAACUUAAGCCAUGUUUGACCACUGAUCCAUGGAUCCACCUCCAUUAUUGCGCAAAUUGUUGAAUGCGUAGCCAUCUUGAGUUCUUUUUUGAUGCUUAUUUUAUUCUGCGCGCUGCUUAUUUUAUUAUUAAAAGUGAUCGGUCUGCCGGUAGUCGGCAGCGAUGGCUUUGCCGAUCUCGUUCGUGUUGGGCAUCCGUGCUACUUUGUGGGACGAUGGGUAUGGCAGAAAAGGUAAGAGUGCCAAUUUGGUUUCAUCCAUGGCUAUGAGCCUUCCUGUAGUGCUGGACUGCUGGUUGACUCAACUGGAAGGGGGCCGUAUUUUUGUCCAGAAUGCAUUUGCAAAGGUGAUCGCCUGACAAAAGUGCUGCUUCGAGCCAAGAUUUGCCAAGCAAAUUACCAUGUAAUUUGUUCAUAAAUCAUAAUGUAGCAAUCCAUGCAUAUCUGUCAUCCCUGGACGCCUCGAUCAAUGAACAUUGCCACACACCUCUCGGAUAUCUGAAUCUGCAUGACAGGAGCCCUCGGGCACUGACGCGAGCUCCGGCGCACUGCCGCCUGAUCAUGCUGGCCAGCUUAACCAGCCUCUCCUCCAUCCGCACGGUAGCGUCCUCCACCAGGGCAGCAAGCCAGCAAGGGCAAGGUCCUCGGGCGCCCGGACGUGGCCGCACUCCAGCGACGAGUCCGUCUCGCGGGCCAGCCCCAGCGCGCCGGCGACGCGGCCUGCCUCCGCAGCGCCGCCAUGAAUACCUCCUCGCCCGGCCGCUGCGACAGAACUAACACGGCCCGCCGGAUGUCCUCCGCUUCCUCCGCGAUGAUCUCCGCCUCCCGCCGGGCUAUGAGCUCGAUGUUCUCCACCUAGUCCCCACACUCUGGAGGGUUGGCCUCGACGUCCUGCAGCACCCCCACCAGAAACCGUAGGGCCCUAAAAUCAUUCUCGAGACCUUGAUCGUCAUUAGCACCGUUCUCCAACAGAUCCUGUCAUUAGGACCGCCAUGGUAUCUACCAUUGUGCUUGGGUUUAGUAGUUUCGUAAUCGAUGUAUUGAUAGGAGAGCCAGGAGGGACGGCAUAUGUUUGGGGUAGCAGCAUAUCUAAUCAGAGUCAUCUACGUUCACGCGUUCAUACCGGAUCGGAGACGCGACGGGAAAGUCGGAUCAAACUUGGUUGAAGUCGAGGUGGGGUCCACACGUCAAUAAUUGAAGUUGGACCAAAUCAAAAAAUUUGGGCAGAAGUCGAGGUGGUUAGAACUCGCCAUGAUGGCUUGCCCUCAGAAAAAUAAUGAUAUAAUUUUUUGUACAUAGACAAAAAUAAAUUAAUAUGGAAAAUUGUCGGAUUAGGCCACAUUGUUGCGUUAAAGUUUCUUUUAGAAAAAUACAUGGUUUCUGGCAGCACUCCACUCCAAAAAACAGUUCCACUUCACUAGCUCCACAAAAUUGCCUGCCAAACAUGUUCAGCUCCACAAACUCCAGCUCCAGAAAAAACGUGAAGCUAGGGGUCAGAUCCACAUUUUUCCUGGAGUACCUUAGGGGUGCUCCAAAAACAUCAAUUUUAGACUUCCUCGUGGAGUUGGGGGUUAUUUACCCAUCUUUGCCACUCGUUACACGACACCUAAUUUUCCCUUUCCGCUCAUUAUCUCCGUUUCCUCCCUCUAGCCAUCCCUUACCAGCACCGCGCCAUCCUCGCCAAUCGACGCUGCGCUGCCCACGUGGCCCUCGCCUAACGGAGCUGCGCUAGUGCGCUACCGACGCCAUCGUCACCCUCCGGAGCUGCACCAUCCUCACCCUCCUCAGCCGCGGCCACGCUGCCCCUGCUCGCCGAACCUUGCCGCCCCUGCCCGCGUCGGUCGCAUGGCCCCUGCUCGUCGGACCUCGCCGCCCUCACCCAUUGGGGCCGCGGGGUUGCGCCCUCUUGCUGGCCGGAGCUGCGCCGCCAUUAUUGCCGCCGGAGAGGACGAGGCGGCGGUGCUGCUUGCCUUUAGGUGGGCGUUGGUGGUGGACGACCCGCGUGGCGCACUCAUCGGCUAAGCCCACGCGAACUCCAUUGCGACGCUAUGCUUGUGGGCCGGCAUCUCGUGCGCGUCGCCGCCCGACAGCCGUGUCGUCACCCUCAACCUCAACGGCAUGGCACCCACCUGCUAGCUCUGGCCCGACGCUCCCCGCGGCUGGCUGCUGCUAGCCGGCCGCAGGGGCGCCAGGGCUGCAGGCACUGCCGACGCUGCUGUUGCUGGCCGACCACGGGGCGCCGGGCUGCAACAUAUCUAGAGAGGACAGCGGCGGUGGCGGGGACAAGGCGCUGCCCUUGGCGUGGAGCUCAGGAUCUGAAAAAGAGAAAGGGGCGAAGAGGAAGGGAGAACAUAGAAGAGGUUGACACAUGGAUCCAUUUACAAAGGGUAAAAUAGACUAUUCACAACAAGUCUUCAUGUUUGUGGAGCUACGGCACUGCGAUCGGCCAAACACAUACAACAACUCUAGUAUUUUUGUGGAGUUGGUGGAGUGGAGCUUAGGUGGAGUAGAGUUGGUGGAGUGGAGUUAUAAAAUUUUUAGUGGAGUGUUGCCAAACACCCGAGUAUGAAUCCAAAUCUGAGAACAAUCGUGACACGAAAGAGAAAGGAAGGAAUUGUUAUUUGAACGUUCUAUAAUAAAAUAUUAAAAUAUAAUUAAAAGAAAAUAAAAGGAAAAAGGAGCGGUCAACCGUGGAGCCCUUCGUUCGGUCGUUCCUAGCAUCGGGUCCAUCGCGUGGACUCGGCCUUUUCUUCACGUGGACUCUAAUAGUCACGUCGUGUCUCUAAAAUAAUGGAAACCUAUAACUUCUACAAGCUUAUUUUUAUUUUAGCAUAACUUCUAGUAUUUAAGAUCCGUGCUAUAGCAUAUUGAUAGGAUGGUUAAGAACCAUACAUAAAUACCUCAUCUCCCAAGCCUACUAUAAAUAAAUAUCUAACCUCGUUAGCUAUUCGAAAUGUUGUAUCACGGUCCGUAGAUUGUUGAAUUAGUUGUACGAAAAUGUUGAAACAGGCAGCAGCCAGUCGGACUACCAAUCAUGCCUGUGGCCUACCAGUAUUUGUAUAAAGAAUCUGCGCAUAUGCUGGCAGUCCGUGAGAUAGGAGAGAGCAUGAGAGAGAUGACAGGAUGUGGAUGGAGGUCCGGCAAACGUUGGAGAAGAUGCGGCGCUAAUCUACUGAGACCCCACAGCUCGAAAUUGCUACAGAGAUGUCCUUGUGACGUGGCACUAUGGACACCGUGGGUUGGGACUGCUACGCGGCAGUGCAGCUGGUCAGUCUUCGUCUCUUGGAGGCUAGCGACGCGGCACGGUCACCGAACUUUCGUCCAACUGGAUGGUCGUCAACAAGCUGAAGUUGGAAGAAGACCUCAUUGACUUGGUGACUUGGCAAUUAGAGACUUGCGAGACUGAAUCGGUAUUUUAAAUAGCCUUGUUAUUACUCGCUGCAUCAAGGAGCACAGAGCCAAGCUAUGCGGACAGCCAUGGAGCACCAUUGCUCCAUCCUACUCGUGGCCUCCCUCCUCCUUGCAUCUCCAGCAUGGACAUCGGCCUCCACGGGAAGUGACGACACCGACGCCGACCACCGUGCGCUCAUGCAGUUCCGGUCCCUCAUCACGGACGACCCAUCCGGGGCCUUGGCAUCAUGGGGCGGCGGCAACAUGACCGCGCCGGCGCCGUGCGGGUGGCACGGCGUCACGUGCGGGGUGCGCGGGCGCCGCCGCGGCCGCGUGACAGCGCUGGACCUCCGCGGGCUCGACCUAGCCAGCUCCGGCACCGCGGCUCCUUCAUCCCUCUCGAGCCUCACCUACCUCCGGCGACUCGACCUCUCCGGGAACCGCCUCGGCGGCGGCGUGCCCUCCCCAUUGCCACCCUCCCUCGAGCGCCUCAAUCUCAGCCACAACGCGCUGCAGGGGCCGGUGCCCGCGGCGCUGGGGUCACUGCACCGCCUCCAGGUGCUCUAUCUCAGCUACAACAACCUCACCGGAGCAAUCCCUGCCUCCCUUGGCAACCUCACCUCCCUCACCUCCCUCAGCCUCACCAGCAACAACCUCGCCGGCGCCAUCCCUGGCGCUCUCGGCAACCUCAAAGCUCUCACCGGCCUCUUCCUUCACUACAACAUGCUCCAAGGAUCCAUACCUUCCGCCGUGUUUAACAUCUCCUCUCUCCAGAAACUUGACGUGCAGAUGAACAACCUCACCGGGACUCUGCCCCCGAACGCCGGUGGCAGGCUGCCCAGACUCACGUGGUUCGUCGUUAACAACAACCGGCUACACGGUGCCAUCCCGCCGUCGCUCUGCAACGCCUCCAAGCUGGAGUUGGCACAGAUGUAUGACAAUUCCUUCUCCGGAGUCAUACCGGACUGCCUUGGAACUCACCUCAAGAACUUGUGGGCACUGACACUGGACGGCAACCAGCUGGAAGCAAAUGUUGAUGCUGACUGGGGAUUCAUGGAUAGUCUGACCAACUGCAGCAAUCUGAAGAUCAUUAGCCUGGUUGAAAACAAGCUGGGAGGUGUGCUUCCUGGCUCGAUCGCAAACCUUUCGACGAGCAUGGAGUACUUGGGCAUAAGUAUCAACAUGGUAAGUGGCCAAAUACCUCAGGAAAUCGGCAACCUUGUCAACUUGAACGCCAUUGAUAUGGAUCUCAAUAAGCUUACUGGUAUUAUCCCUACCUCAAUUGGCAAACUUAACAAGCUGAACAGGCUUGACUUGUCCGCCAACAAGCUAUCAGGGCAAAUUCCACCAACAAUUGGCAAUCUCACCGUGCUCACCGAAUUAUCCCUUUUGGACAACAUGCUCACGGGUCCCAUUCCUUCCAGUCUUGGAAGUUGCCCUUUGCAGACGCUGAACCUGGGGCACAAUCGCCUUGCUGGUCCAAUACCAAAAGAAGUUCUCCUCAUAUCCACACUUUCCGACUACGCGACUUUCCACGAGAACAUGCUAACUGGAUCGUUGCCAUCGGAAGUUGGUCACCUGAAAAAUCUUGUGGCCCUUGAUGUAUCUGGAAAUAGGUUAACCGGGGAAAUCCCCAACUCUCUUGGCGAUUGCCAAAUCUUACAGUAUUGCAUUAUGAAAGGGAACAUGUUUCAAGGGAAAAUUCCGGAGUCAUUGGGACAACUGAAGGCCCUCUUGGCUCUUGAUCUUUCAAGAAACAACUUGUCCGGUCAUAUUCCAGACUUCUUGGGUGACAUGAAAGGUCUUGAACAACUGAAUAUCUCCUUCAACAACUUUGAUGGAGAAGUCCCAAAGCAAGGAAUAUUUCUUAACGCCAGCGCAUUUUCAGUUGAGGGAAACUCAGGCCUCUGUGGAGGUAUUGCUCAGCUGAAAUUGCCACCUUGCUCAGAUAAUGGCAGUACUAGCAACAAUAAGCGAUCACACAAACUUGUCAUGAUAGUCUCCACAGCCACUGCCUUUCUAGGAAUCUCCUUGCUCCUUGCACUAUGUGCAUUAUGUCAUCAAAGAAGGAAGUUGAUAAAGGCAGAACAUGCCUUACCACUCAUCAAUGAUCAGUAUGCAAGGGUUUCAUAUGUCAACUUGAUGAAUGCAACAAAUAGUUUUGCUUCUGAAAACCUCAUAGGCAUCGGAAGCUUCGGCUCUGUUUACAAGGGAACAAUGAUAAGCCAUGACCAAGAAGUUGUUGUCGCUGUGAAGGUGCUCAACCUUCAGCAGCGAGGGGCGUCACAAAGUUUCAUUGCAGAAUGUGAGACUCUCAGAUGUGCUCGACAUCGGAACCUUGUGAAAAUCUUGACGGUGUGUUCAAGUAUUGAUUCCGGUGGCCUUGAUUUCAAAGCUAUUGUAUUUGAUUUCCUACCAAAUGGAAAUCUAGACCAGUGGCUACACCACCGUCUCAGGGAACAUGGCACCCAUAGUAGGAUUGAUCUUGUCCAACGGAUAGACAUUGCCAUUCAUGUCGCUUCUGCACUCGAAUAUCUUCACCACUAUAAACCAACCCCGAUAGUUCAUUGUGAUCUCAAGCCAAGCAAUAUUCUCCUUGACAAUGACAUGGUUGCCCAUGUUGGUGAUUUUGGGCUCGCAAGAUUUGUGCAUCAAGACCAGAUUAACCCCUCAGAUAUAUCAAGUGGUUGGGCCACAAGAAGGGGAACCAUUGGAUAUGCUCCUCCAGGUCAGGUUCUAACAAGUACACUGCAUUUUACUUUCAUGAUUGGUUGAAAAUUGAAAUCCACAAGCAAGUAAAAUGCAUUGCUCCGUUUUCUAUCAUUUAACAUUGUACCUGUAGCAUUGCUGAUAGUCUUCUUUUAAUUGCUGAAUAUGUGUGUUCCAAACAGAGUAUGGACUGGGUAACAGAGUCUCAAUCCAUGGUGACAUGUACAGCUUCGGAGUACUAUUGUUGGAAAUUUUCACAGGAAAAAGACCAACAGAUAGCGACUUCGUGCAAGACCUCAACCUUCAUAGGUACGUGCAAAUAGCACUGCAAGAUCAGCAAGUCACCAGUGUGGUAGACCAACAGUUACUGCCAGUACAAGAUCCGGAACUCGAAGGGAGAACAAGCAGCUCCAGUAGCACCAGAGAAAUUACAGUUGCCUGUGUUACUUCAAUUCUGCAGAUCGGAAUUCUGUGCUCGAAGGAACUUCCAACAGACCGCUUGCUGAUUGGUGAUGCCUUGAGAGAGCUUCACAGAAUCAAAGACAAUUAUAACCAGUUGCACUUAUUAAGUACAUAGAACUUUCUGAAACACAGGAUUUCCAUAUCCCGAACCAUUUUACAGUAUUCCGUGAUCAGAACAGAUACCAGGUCCUUGACUGCACUCAACCUAGUGUUGGGCUUUUUACUUUUAAAAAGACAUGAAAGCAUAAGAUUGACGUUGCAUACACAAUGGAUGCCAGUAUUGCAUCCACCUGCACAUCAGGGUCUAGAGUACAUUGUUAGAUUAUCUUAAUAUAUGAUGUGGCCCAUGUAAUUAAAGAGAAUGAUUUUCAUAUGAAAAGAUCGCAGUGUGUGUUUACUCCAAUUAUUCAGAGAUAUGUUGUUUUGCUAUCUACAUAAUACAUACCCAUAAGGCAACUUUUUGCAUCCAACUUCUACUCUGGCAUUAUGCAGUUAUGCCUGUCAUCAUGCAAUCUGCAGAAAUAGAUGAAUGGUAUAAAUGGAGGGAAAACAGAGGUAAAGCUCUUGUUCCAAACCUGCUGAAGUUCUCAUCAGUCACCAAUAAUAAACUGUUCAGCAACAAAAACAUGCAUGAUGCAUUGUUACAUUUUUAAAAGAAAUGAUGCAUCAUUAUGGAUUCUACUGCCUGCUGGCAUGUUUAACCAAUACUACAUUUUCUGCUUCACCAAUUCACUUUGUUCUUCUCAUGAACUUUUGAGCAAGAUCUUUGAGCGCUUGCCUCGAGUUAAGCACAACUUGAUCCUCACUAUCAGGAAGAUCAUCGAUAGCACCCGCUGCCAGUUUUGCAUGUUCAGCAGCAAGAGACCUCGUCCUCUUGAUUCCCUGACUUUUUGAAAGGUAUUUGAGGGCCUACAAGGGUAAAAUUGAGCAGUUCUGAGACCACACUAGACAAUUUAUGAGCAUUUCACAACCCAAAUAGUUGGAUUAUAUUACUGGAAACAAAGAAAAGUACAUUUUCCUUUCAAAAAAAAUACACUUGCAAUACGAACCGUCUUAACAUUUAAAGGGUCAUCAAAUCCCUGUUCAACAAUCUCAUGCAGUUCAGGGAAUUCUUCCAUCGCAAAAAGUAUGGGAGCUGUCACAAUUCCCUGUCCAUACAGGGCAUAUAUGAUUCCUUACAUGUCAUUGAUAUCUUAAAAAGUAAAAUACUACUGAGGAAAUAUUGAGUGAAUAACUGUAUUACUUGAUGGAUAUCAGACAAGGAGGCUUUGCCUAGUGAAGCUGAUGUGCCUGUGAAAUCGAGGAUGUCAUCGAUCAACUGAUAUGCUAUGCCCUGGAAGAGAGAGUGUAGGUCAUCUUAACAGUUCAUGUGUCUAGCAAAAAUAGGAACAGCUUCUGUGUAAGGAAAAAUACAACACACCAAGUGUCUGCCAUACUGAUAGGCAAGAGCUUGUACUUCUGUUGUUUGCUCAGCAAGGACAGCAAUAGCUUUGCAGCUGUUUGAAAUCAAUGCAGCUGUCUUGUAGUAUGUCUUCUGCAAAUAAUAGUCCAUGCUGUACAAGCAUCCAUGAACAGGUGUCACAUUAAGUAAAAUAUUAGAAAGUGUUGAUUGUCAUGGCUUGAUGAACUCAUCUAGCAUUCCUUUCUUUUCUUGAAUCUGCUCGAUCCAGAACAAGGUUAUCCAAGUUUUUAGUAGAUAGAUUAGCAACAAUGAUCUAUUUAAUUGUGAUUGGCAUUAUAUUAAGUAGUGAACAUUUUUCCUGGACUUUGAUUUGAUGAUAGUUGAUGAAAAGUAACGUCAGUACAUAUCCACUCUAAGCUAAACAGCUACUUGCACACAUAUGACAGCCCAAAUAAUGAAGAGUUAAAUAAUCAACUGAGCAUAACAACACAUUCUAAGGCACUAAUCUGCUACCUCCACACUGACACCACAUCAUAUCUCAAACUUAUCAAAGUUUAUGGGUGCUAUCUUUCAUUAGUAAAAUCUCAAGCAAUAGACAAGAUGCAAGAAAAUGAUAAAAUGAAUUGGACAUGUACCUGCAGCGCUGUGCUGGAGUUAUUGACAUCUGCAUAAGCUCACCAGUAACAAGAUUAUUUACAGCAGUUGCUAGUAAUGAUACAACCUGCAGAAUUAAAAAUAAUUUCGGUAUCUUGACGUUAUGAACAUGCAAAAGAUACAGACUGGAAAGGAACUCACAUAAUCUGAUGUUGAAAGAAAUGGGAGAAGAUGCAGAGUGACAUGGCAGCUCACAUGCUAAAAACUAAAGUGAUUUUGUUCUUUCAGUUGUAUUUUUUUAGCCCCCACUCAUAGUCUAUUUUAUCCUCGAUAGCAAUAUUCCCAACAAAGUCAAACAAAGAUGAAGGAAAAUAAUAUAACUUGUUAGCCUUUACAAAGGAGAAACAUCGCACCUCAGUAUUGUCAAGAGACACAGCUGCAGAAAAUGCCCUGAAAAGUAGGAAAUCGCCAGCCAAUACUGCAACCUGCAGGGUAGCAUCAGAUUUACUAACUGUUAUAAGGUAUUGUGAAUAUGACACAAGAUAUAGUUUGACUUGCAUUUUGCCAAGUUUACAGCAUGGCUUGGCGUUGCUUCCUUUUAUUUCUUUUAAAAGAACAUGGUCCAUACUUACGAGAUGAAGAUGUGGAAAAUAAACAGAUACAACUAUUAUCAUUAUUCAUUUUCAGAGGUAUCAAACAGAAAAAUGGGCUUACUUGCGCAUUAAAUAAGAAAUUUUUUCUAUUUUGGUCUCUAAGAACUACGGAAAAAAAAGGGCUAAACCAAAAUACUUUAAUUGAGCUACUGAACAGCAACUAAUUGAUGUCCACAUGUUUAUAUGUCCAUAUUUAAGAAUACAACUUUAAAUUAAGAUCCCUUGAAUUUCCUUUUCCAUUAAAAUUUUAUGAUAAGAAUGAUUACUGAACUAUUUGGCCCUAAAUAUACAAGUUAGCCAUUGUAGAAAAAGUAUAUGAUAUUAC